AUGGAUUUUCGGGUGCAGAUUUUUAGAUUCCUUCUAAUCAGUGUCACAGUGUCCAAAGGAGAAAUUGUGCUUACCCAGUCUCCAACAUAUAUGACUGCAUCUAAUGGGGAGAAGGUCACCAUCACCUGCAGAGCCAGCUCAAGUAUAAGCUCGAAUUACUUGCAUUGGUACCAGCAGAAACCAGGAGCUCCCCCCAAACUCCUGAUUUAUAGCACGUCCUACCUGGCUGCUGGAGUCCAUGGUAGCUUCAUUGGCAGUGGGUCUGAGACUUCGUAUUAUCUCACAAUUAGCUGUAUGCAGGCUGAAAAUGCUGCUACUUACUACUGUCAGCAGGGGAGUAGCAGCCCACCCCCACAGUGUUACAGACUGGAACAAAAACCCUUGGUAUCCCCAGGGUCCAGAUGCUUUCUCAAAGAGAUGAAAUGUGGCCAAGGUUUUAAUUGA
Molecule: non-coding RNA, 444 nt
Organism: Mesocricetus auratus (golden hamster)
Lineage: Eukaryota; Metazoa; Chordata; Mammalia; Rodentia; Cricetidae
Source: the annotation of a RefSeq genome assembly